RNAcentral lists this ribosomal RNA (347 nucleotides) under uncultured bacterium. Its description in RNAcentral is "bacterial SSU rRNA". It matches the Rfam family "Bacterial small subunit ribosomal RNA", at positions 8 to 350 of the family's 1533-position model. The record is from RNAcentral.
AGAGUUUGAUCAUGGCUCAGGACGAACGCUGGCGGCACGCUUAACACAUGCAAGUCGAACGAGAGAAGAGAAGCUUGCUUUUCUGAUCUAGUGGCGGACGGGUGAGUAACACGUGAGCAAUCUGCCUUUCAGAGGGGGAUACCGAUUGGAAACGAUCGUUAAUACCGCAUAACAUAAUUGAACCGCAUGAUUUGAUUAUCAAAGAUUUAUCGCUGAAAGAUGAGCUCGCGUCUGAUUAGCUAGUUGGUAAGGUAACGGCUUACCAAGGCGACGAUCAGUAGCCGGACUGAGAGGUUGAUCGGCCACAUUGGGACUGAGACACGGAACCCNGACUCCUACGGGAGGCA